This 174-nucleotide ribosomal RNA is filed under the name Triticum aestivum (bread wheat). Its description in RNAcentral is "partial small subunit ribosomal RNA". Lineage: Eukaryota; Viridiplantae; Streptophyta; Magnoliopsida; Poales; Poaceae. The record is from RNAcentral.
CUCGCCACCAUCGCAUCCCUCACUGCAUGGUCCCUUUGGCGACACCGGAACGCGAUCAUCUUCGACAAGAUUAUCCCCUCCUCCUCCUCCCUGAUCGCCGCGAUCAAAGAUGAAGCUCGCUCCUGGGCCACCGCGGGAGCUCGAGGUCUCGCUGCGCGUAAUCCUGUAACCUGA